UACGGAGGGUGCAAGCGUUGUCCGGAUUUAUUGGGUUUAAAGGGUGCGUAGGCGGCCUUUUAAGUCAGUGGUGAAAGCCCGCGGCUCAACCGCGGAACUGCCAUUGAUACUGGAAGGCUUGAGUACAGACGAGGUGGGCGGAAUUGAUGCUGUAGCGGUGAAAUGCAUAGAUAGCAUCCAGAACCCCGAUUGCGAAGGCAGCUGACUAGGCUGGUACUGACGCUGAGGCACGAAAGCGUGGGGAGCAAACAGG
This 253-nucleotide ribosomal RNA is filed under the name uncultured bacterium. Its description in RNAcentral is "partial 16S ribosomal RNA". It matches the Rfam family "Bacterial small subunit ribosomal RNA", at positions 524 to 776 of the family's 1533-position model. The record is from RNAcentral.